RNAcentral lists this transfer RNA (90 nucleotides) under Pseudomonadales bacterium. RNAcentral's name for it is "tRNA-Ser". It matches the Rfam family "tRNA". Rfam says of the family: Transfer RNA (tRNA) molecules are approximately 80 nucleotides in length. Their secondary structure includes four short double-helical elements and three loops (D, anti-codon, and T loops). Further hydrogen bonds mediate the characteristic L-shaped molecular structure. tRNAs have two regions of fundamental functional importance: the anti-codon, which is responsible for specific mRNA codon recognition, and the 3' end, to which the tRNAs corresponding amino acid is attached (by aminoacyl-tRNA synthetases). tRNAs cope with the degeneracy of the genetic code in two manners: having more than one tRNA (with a specific anti-codon) for a particular amino acid; and 'wobble' base-pairing, i.e. permitting non-standard base-pairing at the 3rd anti-codon position. The record is from RNAcentral. Lineage: Bacteria; Pseudomonadati; Pseudomonadota; Gammaproteobacteria; Pseudomonadales.
GGAGAGGUGGCUGAGUGGUUUAAAGCACCGGUCUUGAAAACCGACGAGGGCGAAAGCCCUCCGUGGGUUCGAAUCCCACCCUCUCCACCA